Molecule: ribosomal RNA, 440 nt
Filed under: uncultured bacterium
Lineage: Bacteria
Description: partial 16S ribosomal RNA
Rfam family: Bacterial small subunit ribosomal RNA
Source: RNAcentral
CCUACGGGUGGCAGCAGUGGGGGAUAUUGCACAAUGGGGGGAACCCUGAUGCAGCGACGCCGCGUGGGUGAAGAAGCGCCUCGGCGCGUAAAGCUCUGUCAGCAGGGAAGAAAAUGACGGUACCUGAAGCAGAAGCCCCGGCUAACUACGUGCCAGCAGCCGCGGUAAUACGUAGGGGGCAAGCGUUAUCCGGAUUUACUGGGUGUAAAGGGGGCGCAGACGGGGAUGCAAGCCAGGAGUGAAAGCCCGGGGCUCAACCCCGGGACUGUUCUUGGAACUGGGUGGCUGGAGUGCAGGAGGGGCAGGCGGAAUUCGUGGUGUAGCGGUGAAAUGCGUAGAUAUCAGGAGGAACACCGGUGGCGAAGGCGGCCUGCUGGACUGCAACUGACGUUGAGGCCCGAAAGCGUGGGGAGCAAACAGGAUUAGAUACCCCGGUAGUC